GUGCCCUCGCCGGCUUUAAGUGAUUAAAUCUCGGUACGCGCGGAUCUUCCUCAAUUUAUUUGUUUGAUCCUGGUUCAGGAGAAGAAGGGGGGGUGCUUUCACAUGCAAGUCGAACGGAGCGAAUGUACCCUUGCUUUUAUGAGCUUAGUGGCAAACGGGUGAGUAACACGUAGACAACCUGCCGACCGGAUGGGGACAACUUUCCGGGAGGAAUGCUAAUACCGAAUGAAGCGGAGGAGAGGCAUCUCUCCUCCGUGAAAGAUGGCCUCUAUUUAUAAGCUAUCACCUGUUGAUGGGUCUGCGUCUGAUUAGCUGGUUGGUGAGGUAACGGCUCACCAAGGCGACGAUCAGUAGCCGGUCUGAGAGGAUGAACGGCCACCUUGGGACUGAGACACGGCCCAGACUCCUACGGGAGGCAGCAGUGGGGAAUCUUCCGCAAUGGGCGCAAGCCUGACGGAGCAACGCCGCGUGAGUGAAGAAGGUCUUCGGAUCGUAAAGCUCUGUUGAUGGGGACGAACGUGCCUAAUGCGAAUAGUUUUAGGUAAUGACGGUACCCUUCGAGGAAGCCACGGCUAACUACGUGCCAGCAGCCGCGGUAAUACGUAGGUGGCGAGCGUUGUCCGGAAUCAUUGGGCGUAAAGGGAGCGCAGGCGGGCAUGUAAGUCUUUCUUAAAAGUGCGGCGCUCACCCCGUGAUGGGAAAGAAACCAUAUGUCUUGAGUACAGGAGAGGAAAGCGGAAUUCCCAGUGUAGCGUGAAAUGCGUAGAUAUUGGGAGGACACCAGUGGCGAAGGCGGUUUUCUGUACUGCACUGACGCUGAGGCUCGAACGCCAGGGGAGCGA
This 842-nucleotide ribosomal RNA is filed under the name uncultured bacterium. RNAcentral describes it as "bacterial SSU rRNA". It matches the Rfam family "Bacterial small subunit ribosomal RNA", at positions 1 to 771 of the family's 1533-position model. The record is from RNAcentral.